CUCUUUCUGCUCCGGGCAGAUGGGAUCUGAGGGUCAUUGGAAUGUUAAAAGCUGAUCUCAACGUCAACCCCGUGGGGCCCGGCUGGGCGAUCCAGCUCAGCACAGUCGCGGGCACUUUCAAGAUUGCAGCAAAAGGAUACCCUCAGGAGGAUGUCCUGUCCACCGUCUCGGGUGUGAAGAACUGUUCUUCUCGAGCUCCAUCUUUAAGCUGACCUAAUGCCACCCUUCCCCAGGACCACACCACUCAGAUCAUGAUGGCUGCCUCCUUCACAAAGGGGACUCCUGCUUCCUUCCGGUCACCACAUCCUGAGGCCACCGUCUGCUUCAGCCCGUUGUUGUUGUUCAAUUACUAAGUCGUGUCC
Long non-coding RNA from Ovis aries (sheep), 362 nucleotides. Lineage: Eukaryota; Metazoa; Chordata; Mammalia; Artiodactyla; Bovidae. The record is from Ensembl.